Molecule: long non-coding RNA, 910 nt
Filed under: Phasianus colchicus (ring-necked pheasant)
Lineage: Eukaryota; Metazoa; Chordata; Aves; Galliformes; Phasianidae
Description: lncRNA (ENSPCLG00000002231.1)
Source: RNAcentral
CUGUGAAAACCCCUAAAUCUGGCUGUUCCUGUUUGGAAGCAGAUGCUGCACUGGUUCAGUCCCAGUGGGCUUUGAUUCUAUUUGAACUGAGCAAAGCUGGCUAUCGUUUGAGUGAUCUUCAGAUAAGCUCUGGGAAAUCAGGCAAGAAUAGUGUUUCGGAUUAUUGAGAAAGACAAAGAAAUUGCUUGAUGUCAGCUUGUUGACGAUGGGCAGACCCUUACUUCUCCUUUCUUCUCCUCCUCAUAAAUGGAACAAGAGAGGUGGUCUUCUGAUUCUCUUUGUGCCCUGGCAAAGGAAAAGGUAGAGAAGAAGGGAGUAAGUGUCAGCUCAGUAAAGCAGAGUGCAAGAGAGCACGUGUAAGAGUGCAGCAGGAUCGCCUGUCAUCGCCUGUGGUGGGGGUGGAGAAACCUGGUCCUUCCAUGCCACCUAGUGUAGGAAGCAGAGCAGCAGUCCUGCGUAGAUGGGCUCUGCAAGCUGGGGUCAUUACGCAGAAAAUAAUGGAUACCUGAAGCCUGCCACGAAAUGAGCCACUUCUGCCCUGCAGGCAAACCCCUACUCAGUAGCUUGAUUUGAAAUUCUUCAUUUUUGAGAAUUAAAACUGGACUGUGGCUAAAAGGAUAUAGCGCUUGGUUUAGUUUUUUUUUUUCUUUCUUUUUUUUCCUUACAGGAUAGGAGAAAUUCUUAUUUUGUAGUUGAUUUGGCUGGAAAAGUUAUGGUCCAGAUAGCAGUUGCUCUAAAACACAGCAAUGGAUAAAAAUGGCCCAGAGUUGUGGUGUGCAGUUUAAUUGCUAAACAAUGCUUCAGAUGAAUAGUUAGAAAUAUUCCUCUCCAUAACCAGCUAAACCAAGGACUCAGUCUUACUUUGAAACCUUUCAUUCUAAUUUCUCUUUGAUAAAGAAGAGCAGAUGAG